UAAUAAGCCUUUAUCAUGAAUAAGGAAAUAUAAAAUAACAACUUUAUUAUUGCCUCUAGGGCACAUUUCCUUCGAAGUAUUAGCAUGUGUUUAAGUUCCUUGGACCAUGAAAGAAUCAUAGUCACUUCCUACCGUAUGGUCUACUUUGGGGUUGCUCAAACGUCAUCCGUAAAACAAUGAUUAUAACAACAACUUACAGGUCUAUCGGAAAGUUUGACAAGGGACUAGAUGGCUCGAGAGUGGGAUUUGCUCCUCCGGCGUUGGAGAGAUAUUCAUAGGGCCUCUCGUUAUGAUGGCAUCUAUCAUCGUCUGGCUAGGCACAAGUGACUACAUCACGGGGAUGCCGGAAGACUUCAACGAGAAAGAAGAACAAAACAGCUAUGGACGGCAAAGCACUGCCGGAUCAUGAAGAUCGUACGCUUGCAACCAAGUACAGAGGUCGUGCUUUCGGUAUUCUGUUCGAUGGAUCAUUCAAGGGCAGUUUGCGGGAUCAUCAUCAAUGGUUCGAGGGACUCCAAGUAUGAUCAACACCGAUUCGUCUACUUCCCCCGCACUCCAGAAUUGGUAACGAUCGUUGAUCCAAACCCUAUAUGCAUCUUCAUAUUGUUCCUGGGUGAUCACAGGGCGAUUUUUUUGUUUUCUACUAUGUUUCCCCAUAGGCGGCAUGUCUUCGGUUCGGUUCGGCGCUUGUAGUCAUCGCUAGGUGGUCUACAUAUCUGGAUGUAAUUAUUAUUAUUAUUGACGUUCAUUUAAUGCCUUGAUUGAAGAUGAACAGAUCUGUAAUUUUCUCACAAAAAUAAAACAGAUUGACCAGUUACAAAGCUAUCACACAUGAAAUCAUACACUAUAGUAGUUUGUUUAAUAUUUGUAAUUUCGUCCAUGAGUUUAGGAGCUCAAAUUUUUUAGGCUCGCAAUUUAGCGAAGCAUGCUUUAAA
This is a non-coding RNA of Aegilops tauschii subsp. strangulata, 935 nucleotides long. NCBI's taxonomy places the organism in Eukaryota, Viridiplantae, Streptophyta, Magnoliopsida, Poales, Poaceae. The record is from RefSeq and is a predicted model, not a curated record.